RNAcentral lists this long non-coding RNA (1562 nucleotides) under Citrus maxima (pomelo). Its description in RNAcentral is "long non-coding RNA (CMAX_LNC002569)". The record is from RNAcentral. Lineage: Eukaryota; Viridiplantae; Streptophyta; Magnoliopsida; Sapindales; Rutaceae.
UCUAUGAAUACAACUACUGUUUCCUGCCACUAGUUUUUGUUGUUGGUUAAUUCUGAGAGCCAACAAGGUGAUGCCACGUGUCCGGAAUGAUUAAAAGCAUUAGGGAGUUCUCAAAAGAUAGGGAAGACGCGUGCCGCUCACUCCUAAGUCCUAAAGCUGUAUUAGGAUACAAAAAUAUCUAAGUUGUAAAGUCCAUCACGAACACAAUGAGUUGCAGUCUCCGUAUGUAACAGCUCAGUGAAAACUGGCCUUGUAUCAGCUGAGUUCCAAUAGCUUUUCCUCUCUCCUGCAACGCGUGGAUGCUCCCCAUUUGCUAUGUUACAUACAGAGUCUGUAACAUAGCAAGCUCCACAAAAUGAUAGUGAGACCACAAAACCAACUUGGGGAUAGAGUAAGUUCAAGAGUUCAUCUCUCUAUCUCGAAGGUGUCCCUAAAUGGUCUUCAACUAUUGAUAUCACGGAGCCCCCAUUAUAUUUUCGACAACUCAUCAAGGAAUUAAUGGAUUCUAUCAACAUUAAUUCAACCUCUUUAACAAAUAAAGAUCGAACGGUUGCUCCAACCAUUCUCUCCAGGCCUACGGAAGCCACCUCGAAAAGCACGCGCAUCCACUUAAGACAAGGGAGAAAUGACUCCAUUAUUUGAAUAUAAACCAAGAGUACUUAAUGCCCCUGCCUGAGGACGGGACAAGCCAGUAAGCUCCAUUCCACAUGUCCAUGUCCACCGAGACCACGAGAUGCCUUUAGGGACACUUCAUAUAAAAGAUUUAUGUCCAAGAGCAGGGCAUCUAUCUUCUUCUCUCAACGAUCCACUUGACCACGGCCACCGCAUUCUAAUCACCCGUCUUGCUUGCAAGAUAGAACACCACAUGCAUCCUCAACAACCAUAAUACGUUCCUCACCUCUCAUAAUGCCUUGAAGAUCAACAUUUUAGACCUUUCUAACUAUCUAAAGACAAUCCUUUAAUGUUUUAGACAUUGUAUCAAGAAAGAAUUAGGCUAAAACACUUGCCAGUAACAUCUACAUUAUUAAUUUUAUGUGAACCCUUUUGUGGAUCGAGUACAUUAAUUGCAGUGUUAUAUAUGAAAAGGCAACCAAAAUAUGUUCUUUUCAAGCACGUCGUCCAUAUUAAUUGCCACACGCUUAGCUCACAUGUGUAAAAGUUCAGUGUACACGUCAAUUAAUGAAACAAAUUAAGUUACAUAUUUUGGCAACCAGGUUAGUGAAUACGAUAAUAAUCAUUUAAUUAUUCAUUUUAUAGUCAGCUGCUCAGCUUAUAAGCCCGCCACUUGAUGUUUAAUUAUUAUCGAUGAUCAAUUUUCUUAUAAUCUUUCUUGUUAUUCAUUUUACAAUAUAUAAAAAGGCUGGUAGGUUGCGUGCCUGCAGCCUGCGUAUACAUGAAUAAGCAAUCAUCAAGAAAGAAAAAAUAAAUGAUGGUCAAAUUUAGUAUGCACUUUGAUAAAUGAACAUUAGUAACUAAGAAAUUAUAUAUUUCUCCUUGUACCGCUCCAAUAAUAUACUUAUUAGAGUGCAUUUUGUACAUUAUAUUGUAUUAUUUGAUACACA